UACGAACCGUGCGAACGUUGUUCGGAAUCACUGGGCUUAAAGGGCGCGUAGGCGGUCUGGCAAGUCUGGGGUGAAAUGCCGCGGCUCAACCGUGGAACUGCCUUAGAUACUGUCGGCCUCGAGGAAGGUAGGGGCAUGCGGAACUGUAGGUGGAGCGGUGAAAUGCGUUGAUAUCUACAGGAACUCCGGUGGCGAAAGCGGCGUGCUGGACCUUUUCUGACGCUGAGGCGCGAAAGCUAGGGGAGCAAACGGG
RNAcentral lists this ribosomal RNA (253 nucleotides) under uncultured bacterium. RNAcentral's name for it is "partial 16S ribosomal RNA". It matches the Rfam family "Bacterial small subunit ribosomal RNA", at positions 524 to 776 of the family's 1533-position model. The record is from RNAcentral.